UUUGCUGUGAUGAGCUGCUAACAUGUAAGGAGAACUCUGCAAUGCUGAGUUUCUUCGAUGAAAUAUACUUGUUACGCUUGGCUUCUGAGCUUU
Molecule: small nucleolar RNA, 93 nt
Organism: Manihot esculenta (cassava)
Lineage: Eukaryota; Viridiplantae; Streptophyta; Magnoliopsida; Malpighiales; Euphorbiaceae
Product: small nucleolar RNA R24
Exons: 1
Source: RefSeq, a predicted model, not a curated record